AGCAGCAGCCGCGGGAAUACAGAGGGUGCGAGCGUUAAUCGGAUUUACUGGGCGUAAAGCGCACGCAGGCGGUCUGUCAAGUCAGAUGUGAAAUCCCCGGGCUUAACCUGGGAACUGCAUUUGAAACUGGCAGGCUAGAGUCUUGUAGAGGGGGGUAGAAUUCCAGGUGUAGCGGUGAAAUGCGUAGAGAUCUGGAGGAAUACCGGUGGCGAAGGCGGCCCCCUGGACAAAGACUGACGCUCAGGUGCGAAAGCGUGGGGAGCAAACAGGAUUAGAUACCCCAGUAGUCCCUGUCUCUUAUAC
Molecule: ribosomal RNA, 303 nt
Filed under: uncultured bacterium
Lineage: Bacteria
Description: partial 16S ribosomal RNA
Rfam family: Bacterial small subunit ribosomal RNA
Source: RNAcentral